CCUACGGGAGGCAGCAGUGGGGAAUAUUGGACAAUGGGGGAAACCCUGAUCCAGCCAUGCCGCGUGUGUGAAGAAGGCCCUCGGGUUGUAAAGCACUUUCAGUGAGGAAGAACGCCUGGUGGUUAAUACCCAUCAGGAAAGACAUCACUCACAGAAGAAGCACCGGCUAACUCCGUGCCAGCAGCCGCGGUAAUACGGAGGGUGCGAGCGUUAAUCGGAAUUACUGGGCGUAAAGCGCGCGUAGGUGGCUUGAUAAGCCGGUUGUGAAAGCCCCGGGCUCAACCUGGGAACGGCAUCCGGAACUGUCAAGCUAGAGUGCAGGAGAGGAAGGUAGAAUUCCCGGUGUAGCGGUGAAAUGCGUAGAGAUCGGGAGGAAUACCAGUGGCGAAGGCGGCCUUCUGGACUGACACUGACACUGAGGUGCGAAAGCGUGGGUAGCAAACAGGAUUAGAUAUCCCGGUAGUC
This 465-nucleotide ribosomal RNA is filed under the name Vreelandella stevensii. RNAcentral describes it as "partial 16S ribosomal RNA". It matches the Rfam family "Bacterial small subunit ribosomal RNA", at positions 338 to 795 of the family's 1533-position model. The record is from RNAcentral. Lineage: Bacteria; Pseudomonadati; Pseudomonadota; Gammaproteobacteria; Oceanospirillales; Halomonadaceae.